UGCGGCUUUCAUAAAAGGAAACAUCUGCUUGUAAUAGUGGUCCUGCUCCAGCGAGGCUGAGGGGAGUUAGGCUGGCGGAGGUGACUGACAGCUUCCCUGGCCCUGUUGUGCCUGGCAGAUGUGGAGGUGUCACAGUAGUGAUGAAUUGUUUACACUCACCUGUCUGCCACGUCCUUCAGCGUCAGGGGGAUAGGCCCGGGCGACAGGAAAGGGGUGGCGGCACUGCCACAGGGUCAACGAUAUCUUCAGGCAGCAGAAGGUGUCACCUUCAUCGGACCUGACACACAUGCUACUCAAACCAUGGGAGACAAGAUCGGGCAAAUUAAUCGCCAAGAUGCCAAGGUCAGUGUCGUGCCCCCAUACACGUGGGCUGGUCAAGUCAUUUUAGAAGACGGCGAUACAGGAUGAAGUUUAUUUACACCGCUGUCAUCUGUUCCUGCAUAGCAACAAAGCCGAUGAUUUCCACAUAAGAGCAGUGGGGAGACUCGGGUAGACAGCCCCUCCAGAGCCCGCUGAAGUGAAGCCGUAGUUGGGUAUGUUGGCUGGUCUCACCCGGCCGCCCCACAGCAGGUUUGAAGCCUCUUCUAUCUUUGCCUCCAAUCAAUAGAAGAGCUGCUCCCCCUGCUGCCUGUCUCACGCUACAACUUCCUCUUCCAUCACCUCUUCCAAUGGCACAUAUCACCCUUCACAUUUCCUCUCCUUUUAUCCCUAUUUCUCUCUCUCUCUGUCUCUCUCUCUGCAGUGAAGCAGUCAGGAUGGUUCUCGUUUGGCAGUGGCUGACAUGAGCAGAGGUCUAUCAAGGUGGCCUGUAGGCUAGUGGUGAGACGGAAACCCAUCUGGGAGGCCUUUUCCUAUGGAUGCAGCUGUUGUGUUUCGGCUCUGUAGCGCUACGUUUGUGGGUUAAAUUAACUCGUACUGAUGCUUGCUUAAUUCAAUCUCCUGUUAGAAAUGUUUCAGCGUGCCAACAUAAUAACUGUAAUCACCUUGUCAUCAAGUCCCGUUUGAACUCAAUCAUCCGCCUCUGAACGCACUAUUCCCAUGUUUGACAGCCUACGGAGUCUUCAUGUUACUUUGUGUUCAUCUGAUCAUGCUUGAGAGAUUUAAAUGAACUUUUUUUUAGGCACUGUGGUAGCUUAUAUGCCAUAUAAUUUUAAACAUGGUCAGUUGUCAUACUCUUAAUUUUAUUUGAUCAAAGCUUCAAAUUAAGUUGCUCUCUGCUGGUAGGCUGUGCUUUCAGGAUGUGUUGUGAUAAUGUGUGAAAGGAACAUUUCUAAAGCCAUUAAUUAGAAUUUUAACAGAAUUCUCUAGCAAACAGAGCUGAAAAACAAGACUAUACGUAGUUCUUAAGAUGUUAAAAUGUAUAAAACUCACAUUAAUAUUUUCACACUUUGACUUCACAGUUUAAAAAAGCUAACAGAUCUAGCUUCAUCCUGCUUUUUCAAAAUUUAGGGUCAAGUUUUAAAAAAAAAUAUUAUUUUAUUCAGCAAGGAUGCAUUAAAUUGAUAUAAAUUGAUGGUAAAGACAUUUAUAACGUUGAAAAGAAAUUCAAAGAAAUGCUUUUUUUUCAAAUAACUUUUUCUAUUUGUCAAAGAAUCUUGAAAAAAAAAAAAUGUAUCAUGGCUUCCACAAAAAUAUUAAGCAGCACAACUGUUUUCAAAACUGAUAUCAAUAAGGAAUGUUUCUUGAGCAGCAAAUCAGCAUAUUAGAAUGAUUUCUGAAAGAUCAUGUGACACUGACUGGAGUAAUAGCUAUUGAAAAUACAGGAAUACAUUAUAUUUAAAUAGAAAACAGUUAUUUUAAAUUGUAAUGAUAUUUGACUAUUGACUAUUGCAGUUUUUUUUUUUUGCUGUAUUUUUGAUCAAAGAAAUGCAGCCUUGGUGAAUAUAGAGACUUGCUGCUUAAAACUUUGUGGUUGGUAAAAUUUGUAGUGUAAACAUAUUAAUCAGACUACAAUUGUCCUUGGCACUGUGGGAUUUGCUCUGAAAAAUGGAGCUGAUGCCUGACAUGUUUCAUCUUUCAAAUAUUCAAAUACACAUUGUGUCAUGUAUUAUAACGGAACAAGUUAACACACUGACUGAUGAACACAAUGCUGGAUCUUGUCCUAAUCACUCUUUCGUUCUCUUUAACAGAAGCAUGAUGGUACGAUGGCUCGGACAUUCUGUCCAGACCCCCGUCCAUUGAUUGUCUGCGCUGUGAGCCCCAAGAGGAAGCUUAUUUGGGCCUGGCUGCAGCAUGUGGGUGUGUUAGGGAGCACAGGGUGGUCCUGUGGGCCAGAGAGGGCAGCUAACUGGAGUAAACAGGACUCAGCAGGCUUAGUGUUUGUGUUUACUCUGCUGGAGAGGAGGCCAUUAGAGCAAACAGCCAGCGUUUCUUCACAUGUUGCUGAAAAUCACCCCAACCUUCAUUCACUCCUGUUUGGCACUACUAACACCCAGCCAGUGUGCCCAGAUGGCCCCGCUUUCCAGAUCUCUCACUGUUUCUGCCCUCUCUCCCCUCCCUCCCUGCGCCGUGGCGUCAUUAAAAGUGUCUGUGAGCGGGAGGUGUAAAAAACGGGUGCCGAGAGAGGGAGCAGAAAACAAUUUAGUGGCAUUUAAAGAUAAAGUCCUCCCCCUAUUUACAUGGCCUAUCUAAUCCAAUCUAGGCUCUGUCUGCAUUUUUAAUUUGCACAUUCAAGCAAGCUUCAGAGAGGAACCUAGGCUUAAUUAGUUUAGUUAUCUCCCCUCAUGAAUGGAUAAAGUUCCCACACUGCUGGUGUUUCAGAUGAAGCCUAAUUGGAUUUUGAGGCCAAAAACAAAAGGAGAAAUAAAAGAAACGAGGGUUAGAUAACAGAGGAAGAUUGAAUUGAUAAAGUGAAAGGGGAGUGAACUGUAGGAGAGAGAAACGACGCGGUCGAGAUCCUCGUUUGAGGUCAAUGAUCCUGUAGGUGGGUCAAUGACAUAUGAGGAAAAAUCUUUUAACAGAAUGAAAAAAAUUAAUUGGAAACGCUUAGAAAUGUACUCUUUUCUUAUUGGUCUGAUGUGGUAUAAGAAAUCAAACAAAGUCUUGAUGUGUAAAAACAUCAAAUGUACGUGUAAUCUAAAUAUUUUUUUAUAUACAAGUUAGUAUAUAAUAUAUAAGUUUAAUAGAUUUACUAUAUUUUAUUUAUGAAUAUAGAAAGUAUUUUUAAUAAAAAUGUUAAAAAAAAUUUGGAGAGUCUCUCCGUUCUACAUCUGAUCUUACAUUACCUUUCUAAUAUUUUAAUAUAAAUGUUAAUAAGUAAGCUUUUCUUUUCAAGAAUUUCUGUCUUUAAAUUGCCCUUUUUCUUCAUUAUAUCAGGACAGUUGUAUCUGGACAUUUUUGUAGGUGUUGUUGUAUUUAUGAAUUUCAUUUUAAGGACAAAACAUGAGCAUCUCGUCAUUUGCCAAGGAACCCUCUAUGGCUGAUGAAAAGAUCCAGUCUAAAUCAUUGCUGCAGUUUUGUCUAAAGUUCAUUAGCACAUCAGCUUGUGAUGUUUUCUAUGUUUUAUAUAUAACUGAAACAUUUAGAAUUUUAAAUGACACAAAAUUUAGAACACCCCCUCAAGACCCCUCCAGGGGUUUCAGUGCAAUUUGCCAGAAAUGGCGCUUUUGAAUAUAAAAUCCAGGCCUCAAGAAAAGUAAGCCCACAUUCGGUUUUAAAUCUCAACCGGUCUUUGCCAGUAUCCAGUAAUAAUACCAUUUCGUUCGGCUAGAGUAAAAGUGUCAGCACGUUUAAAAAUCAUCAUUCUUAAAGAGACAACUGAGCCUGAGUAAAUCAAUUAUUGAACAUUACCCUUCAUUGUGAUAUCUGAUUCGAACAAGGUCAAGGGAAUUAUUAAUAACCUUCUGUUCUCUUUCACAGACACGUUUACAAAUUAGCACUUCUCACAGGCCUGGGACCUGCUUUAUGAAGCCGAGUUUUCGGAGCAGCCUGAAAGUGUGAAAGAGUUCCAGAGGGCAGAGCAUUUGGAGAAGUCUAGAUAAUGAGAUUCUUUUGUUAAUGCCAUUGAACUCGAUUCAAUUAGUAAAAAGGGCCUAUGUUUGUGACUAUUGCGUGCGCAGCAUACAGUGUGUUUCUGUAUGUAAUUGACUUUGUAAGCCCUCGAGGAGCAAACUUUUAGCGCUUUCAAACAUUCAACAUUAUCGUCAAGCACAAAUGGAGAGCCAAGUAUGUUUGUCUUUUUUCUGUUUCUGUUUUUUUUUCUUUUUUUUUUUCUUGAGCCAAGUGAGCUGGUUUGGGGCUGAUCUUGUGUGCACUUGUGUGAUGUAUAGAUUAAUUAAAUAAGCAUAUUGAUUCCUGUUCUGGCAACACAGAGUGUGGGGUUUUAAUUAGCCCUCGCUUGAGUGUGUUAAAAUUCCAGUCUUAUCUGUGUGGAACCAAGUGGAACUGAAUGCAUGAGGGCUGCUCAUCAACUCAAAAUCUCCAGUAACCUCCAGUUUUUUUCCCCUUGUUUGUUUUAGUUCGACCCAAACCGCAAACUUUAUUCUUGUGAUCUGAAGGUUUGUUGGGAGCCCUUCGUCUCUCUUGGCAGCAGACGAGUGUGACGGCACGUUUUUGCGUACAUCCAAGAACCUUCUGUCCUGCUUACUGGUACCUCGAUCUGGUCUCCCUCAGCCAUCUUGUUCUUCAUAAAUUUUUCACCAUGCUGUGAUCAAAGCUCACCACUGUAUUUGUGUUCUGAUGUAAUGGCCAAGGAUGUAACAUGAAAAUCUACUUAAAAAUUACGAUCCAGCCUAUAUCAGGCCUAGUGUUGACAUGCCAUUUUUUUGUGUGGGUUUUUAAUGUGAUUGAUUUAUUUUGUUUAGACGGGCAGGAAGGUGCAGGAAUGUUUGGUGCUGUAGGCGUGUCAGUGGGUGAUCCACAUUCAUAUGCCGUGCACUUGUCUCAAUAGGGCAGCCAGGCCAUGCAGCUGUGUCAGAAAACACACUCAUCUUUUUUUUUUUUUUUUUUGGAGACAUAAAUGUGAGAAAACACUUUUACAUCACUGAAAUAAAAUAAAUAAUAAUAAAAAAAAACUUUUAUCUCAGUAUGCAAAUAAACACAAUUUAAUAAAAAUAAAUAUAUGCAGAAAUAAGUGGGUGUUUUCAAUUCUUUCUCUACAAAAGCUGAGCAGGAAUCUCCUGCAGAGGACAGAUUUAAAGUGGAGGGAAGAAAGUGUUGAGAGCAUCCGAAAAUUAAGAAAUACUUGACAAGUGAAAAACACUGAAAGGUAGCCAAUCACUGUAAGGUGAUUCUUUGUUUUGAGUCAUCAGAGAUAGAACUAUUAGCACUUUUUGGAGGGAUUUUUUUGGAGUUUCAGCGGUUGUGUUGGUGUUGCAAUACAUUGUUUUAAGAAGAAGGAUGUUCUCUUUCUGUGGCCCAGAGCUGUUCUUUUUCCUGUUGGAGUGACUCAAGUAGAUGUGCCUUGCUUCUGCUUCUCACAUCGAUUUCUCCAGCUACCGACUGCUGAAGACCAUCUUACCAAGGCUUUGCUGCCUUUCAUGUUCAUUAAUCCUGGGCUAUGUUAGCAUAAUGCUAAUGCACUGUUUAGUCUUCAUAGCUGCUCUGGAGGUCUUUGUGAGAUGGAGAGAAAUACUCCGUCAGUUCCAUCUGCACCUGCAACAGUGGACU
This is a long non-coding RNA of Onychostoma macrolepis, 5607 nucleotides long. RefSeq lists it as uncharacterized. The record is from RefSeq and is a predicted model, not a curated record. The transcript is spliced from 4 exons. NCBI's taxonomy places the organism in Eukaryota, Metazoa, Chordata, Actinopteri, Cypriniformes, Cyprinidae.